This 764-nucleotide ribosomal RNA is filed under the name uncultured bacterium. Its description in RNAcentral is "bacterial SSU rRNA". It matches the Rfam family "Bacterial small subunit ribosomal RNA", at positions 8 to 793 of the family's 1533-position model. The record is from RNAcentral.
AGAGUUUGAUCCUGGCUCAGAGCGAACGCUGGCGGCAGGCCUAGCACAUGCAAGUCGAACGAACUCUUCGGAGUUAGUGGCGGACGGGUGAGUAACACGUGGGAACGUGCCUUUAGGUUCGGAAUAACUCAGGGAAACUUGUGCUAAUACCGAAUGUGCCCUUCGGGGGAAAGAUUUAUCGCCUUUAGAGCGGCCCGCGUCUGAUUAGCUUGUUGGUGGGGUAAUGGCCCACCAAGGCUACGAUCAGUAGCUGGUCUGAGAGGAUGACCAGCCACAUUGGGACUGAGACACGGCCCAAACUCCUACGGGAGGCAGCAGUGGGGAAUUUUGGACAAUGGGGGCAACCCUGAUCCAGCCAUUCCGCGUGAGUGAAGAAGGCCUUCGGGUUGUAAAGCUCUUUCAGCAGGAGCGAAACGGUCGUUUUUAAUACAGACGGCUAAUGACGGUACCUGCAGAAGAAGCACCGGCUAACUACGUGCCAGCAGCCGCGGUAAUACGUAGGGUGCGAGCGUUAAUCGGAAUUACUGGGCGUAAAGCGUGCGCAGGCGGCGACAUAAGACAGAUGUGAAAUCCCCGGGCUCAACCUGGGAACUGCGUUUGUGACUGUGUUGCUAGAGUGUAGCAGAGGGGGGUGGAAUUCCACGUGUAGCAGUGAAAUGCGUAGAGAUGUGGAGGAACACCGAUGGCGAAGGCAGCCCCCUGGGUUAACACUGACGCUCAUGCACGAAAGCGUGGGGAGCAAACAGGAUUAGAUACCCUGGUAG